Molecule: ribosomal RNA, 484 nt
Filed under: uncultured bacterium
Lineage: Bacteria
Description: partial 16S ribosomal RNA
Rfam family: Bacterial small subunit ribosomal RNA
Source: RNAcentral
AUUGAACGCUGGCGGCAGGCCUAACACAUGCAAGUCGAGCGGAUGAAGGGAGCUUGCUCCUGGAUUCAGCGGCGGACGGGUGAGUAAUGCCUAGGAAUCUGCCUGGUAGUGGGGGAUAACGUCCGGAAACGGGCGCUAAUACCGCAUACGUCCUGAGGGAGAAAGUGGGGGAUCUUCGGACCUCACGCUAUCAGAUGAGCCUAGGUCGGAUUAGCUAGUUGGUGGGGUAAAGACCUACCAAGGCGACGAUCCGUAACUGGUCUGAGAGGAUGAUCAGUCACACUGGAACUGAGACACGGUCCAGACUCCUACGGGAGGCAGCAGUGGGGAAUAUUGGACAAUGGGCGAAAGCCUGAUCCAGCCAUGCCGCGUGUGUGAAGAAGGUCUUCGGAUUGUAAAGCACUUUAAGCUGGGAGGAAGGGCAGUAAGUUAAUACCUUGCUGUUUUGACGUUACCAACAGAAUAAGCACCGGCUAACUUCGUG